GACGAACGCUGGCGGCGCGCCUAACACAUGCAAGUCGAACGGAGCUGAGAGAAGCUUGCUUUUCUUAGCUUAGUGGCGAACGGGUGAGUAACGCGUGAGUAACCUGCCCUGGAGUGGGGGACAACAGUUGGAAACGACUGCUAAUACCGCAUAAGCCCACGAUCCGGCAUCGGAUUGAGGGAAAAGGAUUUAUUCGCUUCAGGAUGGACUCGCGUCCAAUUAGCUAGUUGGUGAGGUAACGGCCCACCAAGGCGACGAUUUGUAGCCGGACUGAGAGGUUGAACGGCCACAUUGGGACUGAGACACGGCCCAGACUCCUACGGGAAGCAGCAGUGGGGGAUAUUGCACAAUGGGGGAAACCCUGAUGCAGCGACGCCGCGUGGAGGAAGAAGGUUUUCGGAUUGUAAACUCCUGUCGUUAGGGACGAUAAUGACGGUACCUAACAAGAAAGCACCGGCUAACUACGUG
Molecule: ribosomal RNA, 468 nt
Filed under: uncultured bacterium
Lineage: Bacteria
Description: partial 16S ribosomal RNA
Rfam family: Bacterial small subunit ribosomal RNA
Source: RNAcentral